RNAcentral lists this ribosomal RNA (249 nucleotides) under uncultured bacterium. RNAcentral describes it as "partial 16S rRNA". It matches the Rfam family "Bacterial small subunit ribosomal RNA", at positions 505 to 753 of the family's 1533-position model. The record is from RNAcentral.
GUGUCAGCCGCCGCGGUAAUACGAAGGGGGCUAGCGUUGCUCGGAAUCACUGGGCGUAAAGGGUGCGUAGGCGGGUUUCUAAGUCAGAGGUGAAAGCCUGGAGCUCAACUCCAGAACUGCCUUUGAUACUGGAAGUCUUGAGUAUGGCAGAGGUGAGUGGAACUGCGAGUGUAGAGGUGAACUUCGUAGAUAUUCGCAAGAAGACCAGUGACGAAGGCGGCUCACUGGGCCAUUACUGACGCUGAGGCA